RNAcentral lists this transfer RNA (72 nucleotides) under Anolis tropidonotus. RNAcentral's name for it is "tRNA-Asx". The record is from RNAcentral. Lineage: Eukaryota; Metazoa; Chordata; Lepidosauria; Squamata; Anolidae.
CUGAAUAAACGGGCCUUGAUCCCGCAAAAAUUAGUUAACAGCUAACUACCCUAACCAGCGGGCUUCUACUCG